CACGCCCUAAACGAUGCGAACUGGAUGUUGGGGGCACUUUGGCCUUCAGUAUCGAAGCUAACGCGUUAAGUUCGCCGCCUGGGGAGUACGGUCGCAAGACUGAAACUCAAAGGAAUUGACGGGGGCCCGCACAAGCGGUGGAGUAUGUGGUUUAAUUCGAUGCAACGCGCAGAACCUUACCUGGCCUUGACAUCCACGGAACCUUCCAGAGAUGGAGGGGUGCCUUCGGGAACCGUGAGACAGGUGC
Molecule: ribosomal RNA, 247 nt
Filed under: uncultured Lysobacter sp.
Lineage: Bacteria; Pseudomonadati; Pseudomonadota; Gammaproteobacteria; Lysobacterales; Lysobacteraceae
Description: partial 16S ribosomal RNA
Rfam family: Bacterial small subunit ribosomal RNA
Source: RNAcentral